This 59-nucleotide transfer RNA is filed under the name Candidatus Gastranaerophilales bacterium HUM_14. RNAcentral's name for it is "tRNA-Asp". It matches the Rfam family "tRNA", at positions 2 to 56 of the family's 71-position model. Rfam says of the family: Transfer RNA (tRNA) molecules are approximately 80 nucleotides in length. Their secondary structure includes four short double-helical elements and three loops (D, anti-codon, and T loops). Lineage: Bacteria; Bacillati; Candidatus Melainabacteria; Candidatus Gastranaerophilales. The record is from RNAcentral.
GGAGCGUAGCUCAGUUUGGUUAGAGCGCAUGCCUGUCACGCAUGAGGUCGCGAGUUCGA